UACGUAGGGUGCGAGCGUUGUCCGGAAUUACUGGGCGUAAAGAGCUCGUAGGUGGUUUGUCGCGUUGUCCGUGAAAACUCACAACUCAAUUGUGGGCGUGCGGGCGAUACGGGCAGACUGGAGUACUGCAGGGGAGACUGGAAUUCCUGGUGUAGCGGUGGAAUGCGCAGAUAUCAGGAGGAACACCGGUGGCGAAGGCGGGUCUCUGGGCAGUAACUGACGCUGAGGUGCGAAAGCGUGGGGAGCGAACAGG
This 253-nucleotide ribosomal RNA is filed under the name uncultured bacterium. RNAcentral describes it as "partial 16S ribosomal RNA". It matches the Rfam family "Bacterial small subunit ribosomal RNA", at positions 524 to 776 of the family's 1533-position model. The record is from RNAcentral.